UUCCCGCAGGUGAGCGAUUUGGUGAACUCUUCUGAGAUAUUGAAGGCCAUUAAAGAGGGAUUUGAGGUGAGAUUGAAGAAGGAUAGCGGCGGAUGUGGAAUUUGUGAAGAGUCCAACGGCGUUUGCGGUUACGAUUGGAGUUUGAAUCAGACGACUUGCUAUUGUCGCCACGGUGCUUAUAAUGAUAACGGAGCUUGUCAGAGUACGCCGGCCGGUGGAAGUCCGUCGUCUUCUCCAGGUGGGAGUGAUGACUCCAACAACACAUCCCUGAUUAUAGGCCUUUCUGUUGGAGGGGCAGCUGUAUUAGGCUUGUGCUUGGGAUGCUGUGUCUUCUGCAUUAAACGACGAAAGAAAACGCAUGUCCUGAAGUUGAAAACCCAAGAUCUUCCUUCGCCU
Non-coding RNA from Cucurbita pepo subsp. pepo (vegetable marrow), 396 nucleotides. The record is from RefSeq and is a predicted model, not a curated record. Lineage: Eukaryota; Viridiplantae; Streptophyta; Magnoliopsida; Cucurbitales; Cucurbitaceae.